ACAGGGAGAGGAGCAUGGGGGUGUGUUGCUCGUACCGACCAAGGUGAAUUUCUGGCAGCAAAGGCCGACACACUUGAGCUGGGGCCUCUACAUGCAGAAGCUUUGGCAUGUGUGCUAACUACUGAAGCAAGUGCGGAACUGGGCAUCCACAGGGUGAUUGUUGAGUCUGAUUCCCAAGUGCUUGUCCAUGCACUCAAUUCUGGUGAAUAUGAACGAGCGCUGAUCGGUGUCCUCCUACGGGAGACGCGAAGUAUCUGCCAUGCGAACUUUGAAUCAUUUAGUUUCAGUUUCUGUAACCGAAAUUGUAAUAAGGUAGCACAUGAGUUAGCUGCUUUUGGCUUCAGAUCGGGAGCUGCUGAUCUGUCGUGGAUCGAGUAUGCCCCAGACUUUGUUUCUGUUCUGGUCGCCAGCGACAUUGCUGAGCCAGUUUAG
RNAcentral lists this ribosomal RNA (432 nucleotides) under Triticum aestivum (bread wheat). Its description in RNAcentral is "partial small subunit ribosomal RNA". Lineage: Eukaryota; Viridiplantae; Streptophyta; Magnoliopsida; Poales; Poaceae. The record is from RNAcentral.